RNAcentral lists this long non-coding RNA (834 nucleotides) under Betta splendens (Siamese fighting fish). RNAcentral's name for it is "lncRNA (ENSBSLG00000021669.1)". The record is from RNAcentral. Lineage: Eukaryota; Metazoa; Chordata; Actinopteri; Anabantiformes; Osphronemidae.
AUGCCAUCACACUGUAAAAUCAGCAGAAAGCGCGAUUGUAACUCUAACUCUGUCCAUAGACUGUGGUCAGUUUCAACUACUUGGAGAGUCUCCAAAGGCAAACACAGGUUGUGUGAGUCAGAGGAAAAAGAGGCAGACCAGGGUCACGUUCACGCCGUUCCAGGUGCAGGAGCUGGAGGAGGUCUUCCUGCAGACCCACUACCCCGACAUCAACUCCAGAGACCAGUUAGCCUCGCGCCUGCACCUCACCGAGGGCCGAAUACAGAUUUGGUUCCAGAACCGCAGAGCCAAGUGGAGGAAGGCCGAGACGCUGAAGGACAUAGAGCUGAUGAGCAGACAGCACGUCCAGUCGGCCACUCGUCAGACGCUGUAUUAUGACGUAAGAACACAUUGACACGACAUGUUCUCAUUUUUAAUAAUGAUUAAUUUUUAAUUCAUGAAGCACCAGUGAGUCAGUUUAAUGGGCAUGGUUCCAUUUAAUGUUUCGCAAUUUGACUUUGAAUGUACGCAAUCGCCACGGUCUGCGUAUUGUCCACUGUGUGUGAUCUUAAGGAUCUGUUCACGGCAUAACUGGUGUUUUCCUGACAGAAGCCCCAGCUCCUGCAGGCCGUGUGCUGGCUGCCCUGCUGCUUACCCGAGGCCCUGCGGCCGAGGCUGGUGCUCAGAGCGAUAUCGACGCCGUCGGUGCUGAUCGACUCACAUUCCCCACAUCACAGGACUCUGCAUUUUGACCCACCGGGGACUGAAAGAUAGGACGACUCUUAUAUAGAAGAGUCAAAUAUAUGAGACUUCAAUCGUGGUGAUGCACAAAAUAAAGACAUGCUGAAUCUGUCA